Molecule: ribosomal RNA, 620 nt
Filed under: uncultured bacterium
Lineage: Bacteria
Description: bacterial SSU rRNA
Rfam family: Bacterial small subunit ribosomal RNA (bases 1-536)
Source: RNAcentral
CCUACGGGAGGCAGCAGUAAGGAAUAUUGGUCAAUGGAGGCAACUCUGAACCAGCCAUGCCGCGUGCAGGAUGACGGCCCUAUGGGUUGUAAACUGCUUUUAUACAAGAGAAAACCCUGGUACGUGUACCAGGUUGAUAGUAUUGUAAGAAUAAGCAUCGGCUAACUUCGUGCCAGCAGCCGCGGUAAGACGAAGGAUGCAAGCGUUAUCCGGAUUCAUUGGGUUUAAAGGGUGCGUAGGCGGACUGAUAAGUCAGUGGUGAAAUCUCUUUGCUUAACAAAGAAACUGCCAUUGAUACUGUCGGUCUAGAGUAUAGAUGACGUUGGCGGAAUAUGACAUGUAGUGGUGAAAUACUUAGAUAUGUCAUAGAACACCGAUUGCGAAGGCAGCUAACGAAACUAUAACUGACGCUGAGGCACGAAAGUGCGGGGAUCAAACAGGAUUAGAUACCCUGGUAGUCCGCACCGUAAACGAUGAUUACUCGUUGUUGGCGAUAUGACAGUCAGCGACCAAGCGAAAGCGANAAGUAAUCCACCGUUGGGAGGUACGCCGGCGACGGAGACGACGAANAGAGUUAGACGGCGNGAGACGNGCCGACGGACGACGACGAGGGAGGUAGG